This 660-nucleotide long non-coding RNA is filed under the name Homo sapiens (human). Its description in RNAcentral is "HSALNT0255365". Lineage: Eukaryota; Metazoa; Chordata; Mammalia; Primates; Hominidae. The record is from RNAcentral.
UGUAAUCCUAGCACUUUGGGAGGCUGAGGUGGGUGGAUCACUUGAGUCUGGGAGUUCGAGACCAGCCUGGCCAGCAUGGUGAAACCCCAUCUCUACUAAAAAUACAGAAAUUAGCAGGCAUGGUGGUGUGUGGCCGUAAUCUCAGCUAUUUGUGAGGCUGAGGUGGGAGAUUCGCUUGAACCCAGGAGGUGGAGGCUGCAGUAAGCGGAGAUCGUACCAUUGCACUCCAGCUUGGGUGACAGAGCAAGACUCUGUCUCAAAAAAAAAAAAAAUAGCUAGGCGUGGUGGCACAUUCCUGUAGUAUGAGCUACUUGGGAGGCUGAGGUGGGAGGAUCAUUUGAACCUGGGAAGUCGAGGCUCAAAGCUACAGUGAGCCAAGAUUGCACCCCUGCACUCUAGCCUAGGGGACAGAUCAAGACCCUGUAUCCAAAAAAUAAAUAAACACACAUAGAGACAUAAAAUAUAAAUAUAUAUAAUACACACAGAGACACAUACAUAUGCAAUACACAUAAAGAUAUAUAUAUACAUAUAUGGAGAGAGCCACACUUACAUACAGAGAGAUACAUAUAUAUAACAUACACAAACAGGCACCAUGCCCAGGCAUGCAAUGCUUCUAUUGUAAGGGAAAGGGAGGGAUGGAGAGGAACCUGUGAAUUAAAA